RNAcentral lists this ribosomal RNA (433 nucleotides) under uncultured bacterium. RNAcentral's name for it is "partial 16S ribosomal RNA". It matches the Rfam family "Bacterial small subunit ribosomal RNA", at positions 28 to 507 of the family's 1533-position model. The record is from RNAcentral.
GACGAACGCUGGCGGCGUGCCUAACACAUGCAAGUCGAACGAGACCUUCGGUUCUAGUGGCUCACUGGUGCGUGACUCGUUGGCACCUGCCCUUCGGUUCGGCAUAACUCCCCGAACUGCGUGCUAUUGCCGGAAAUUGUCUUCGUUCCCAAGAUUGAGCGCCUUUGGAUGGGCCCGCGUUGGAUUGGCUGGUUGGUAGGGUAAAAGCCUACCAAGGCGACGAUCCAGAUCUGGUCGGAGAGGAGGAUCAGCCAGCCUGGGACUGAGGCACGGCCCAGACUCGGACGGGAGGGAGCGGUGGGGAAUAUUGGAGGAGGGGGGAAGGCCUGAUGCAGCAAUGCCGGGGGAGUGGUGAAGGGGUUAGGGUUGUAAAGCUCUCUUAGCCGGGAUGAUAAUGACAGUACCGGGAGAAGAAGCUCCGGCUAACUCCGUG